RNAcentral lists this transfer RNA (72 nucleotides) under Talaromyces pinophilus. RNAcentral describes it as "tRNA-Thr (TGT) (tRNA-Thr-TGT-2-1)". It matches the Rfam family "tRNA". Rfam says of the family: Transfer RNA (tRNA) molecules are approximately 80 nucleotides in length. Their secondary structure includes four short double-helical elements and three loops (D, anti-codon, and T loops). Further hydrogen bonds mediate the characteristic L-shaped molecular structure. tRNAs have two regions of fundamental functional importance: the anti-codon, which is responsible for specific mRNA codon recognition, and the 3' end, to which the tRNAs corresponding amino acid is attached (by aminoacyl-tRNA synthetases). tRNAs cope with the degeneracy of the genetic code in two manners: having more than one tRNA (with a specific anti-codon) for a particular amino acid; and 'wobble' base-pairing, i.e. permitting non-standard base-pairing at the 3rd anti-codon position. Lineage: Eukaryota; Fungi; Ascomycota; Eurotiomycetes; Eurotiales; Trichocomaceae. The record is from RNAcentral.
GCCCUUGUAACUCAGUGGUAGAGUGCAUCACUUGUAAUGAUGAAGUCCACUGUUCAAUCCAGUGCUGGGGCA